RNAcentral lists this ribosomal RNA (1684 nucleotides) under Triticum aestivum (bread wheat). Its description in RNAcentral is "partial small subunit ribosomal RNA". Lineage: Eukaryota; Viridiplantae; Streptophyta; Magnoliopsida; Poales; Poaceae. The record is from RNAcentral.
CAAUCAUUUGCUCGGAAGCCUCUGCCUCUGCCUCCACCGGGUUCCGAUCUCCUCUCCUCGCUCUGAAACCCGAACCCCAACAGAGAUCGCCCCUGCCUCUCCCCCUCCUCCCCCUCCACCACCACCCUUUUGUCAACUUGUUAAACUGGCACACGACUUCGGCUUUUUGGAGAGGGGAGGCCACACAGAGACGGCAUACUGGAGAGGCGGGGCCGCCGCUUUUUGGGCUCCUCCCCAUUGGAGCGCACAAAGCCGGGCGGCACCAUUUAACACUACCACCUCCACCACCACCACGCGCACCGUCACGCACACGAAGCGCCGGGGAGUCGACACGCAGGAACCACACUGGACUUCGCCUUCCCCGGCCUGCUGCUCCCCCCGCUGCAUCCAGAUCGGACCCGUACCUAGAUUGUUAUCAGGAGUCUACACUUGGAAGAAUUAGUGGAGCAGUAGGCGAUAAACUUGCCCAGGGCGUGUCCAAAUGCAGUAAAACUUGAAACAAGAAGCUCUGAUCUGCUGCCGGCUUUCUGAAGUUGCUCUGGAGCUAGCAGUGCAUCCUUCCACGCUGGAAGUACCAGAUUCUGUUCUAGAGGAGUUGCUGGGCAUAGAGAUGGCAGACGAUCCUAAUCAAAACUUCGGGCCGUUUUCGCAGCCGUUCUGCAGCCAGAAUGUGGUUUCAUUUCAGACGAGCGCGACGCCUAGCGGGUCGGGAGGCAGCAUGCCGGUGUACCUAGACUGCUCCAGCAGCAUGGGUUCUAACAUGGGGAUGAUGAACACCACGCCUUCAGUAGCUGUCUCCACAAGUUCAUCCAACAUGGUUGCUGAAUCUGCGCAGAACCUCAAAUAUGGAGGACCCCUGGCUGAAAGCUGGUCGCAUCUCGAGAUCCAAGUGCUGAAAGAUUGCCUAGAUAGAUAUGUGAAUGAACAUGGUAUCAUGAAGUACAUAAAGAUAGCCGCUUCCCUACCAACCAAGACGGUGAGGGACGUUGCGAUGAGAUGCCAAUGGAUGGGGAACAAACAAACUACAAGACGGCGGAGGCCUGCAGAACAUCAUAGCAGAAAAAUGAAAGAUAGAAAGGAUAAAAUGGUGGGGCCUUCAUCCUGGGGUACCACUCAUCCUAUUCAGACGGAUACAGGGAUCUCUUCCUUUGUGCCGCAUCAUGCCAUUCAAAACAGUCAAUAUCUAUCUGGAGCCUCGGAGAUGGAUCGUAUAGUACAGCUUGUACUGGAAGAAAAUAAUCGGCUUCUUACUCAGAUAGACACAAAUAUUCAAGCAUUUCAGGCUCAAAAUAACAUCGAUCUCUUCAAUCGCGUGCGAAGGAACAUUGAUGGCCUCUUGAAAAUCAUGAGCCAAAUGCCGGGAAAAAUGAGUCAGAUGCCUCAGUUGGGAGUUGCGGUGAAUGAAAACCUUGCCAGUUACUUGCUCCCAGAUCUUACAAUGGCACAAGUUCUUGGAAAUAGCCAUUUGAAGGAGGAGCCAAGAGGAUGGUGAGUCGCAGCCAAAGCAGGUCACAGAUGAGGAAGAUACUGAAACUUCAUCGGUAGUUCGGCGAGUUAUAGGAAGAUAAAUACUGCUUCAGCAUGUACACCAGAUGGCGACGAAUAGAGUCACCAAGGAACCUUGUUUCCUCUAUCUGGAAGCAAAGGAGAGGCGAGUGGUGACUGAGGAACCACUCUGCAUUGC